Molecule: ribosomal RNA, 490 nt
Filed under: uncultured bacterium
Lineage: Bacteria
Description: partial 16S ribosomal RNA
Rfam family: Bacterial small subunit ribosomal RNA
Source: RNAcentral
AUUGAACGCUGGCGGCAGGCCUAACACAUGCAAGUCGAACGGUAACAGGAAGAAGCUUGCUUCUUUGCUGACGAGUGGCGGACGGGUGAGUAAUGUCUGGGAAACUGCCUGAUGGAGGGGGAUAACUACUGGAAACGGUAGCUAAUACCGCAUAACGUCGCAAGACCAAAGAGGGGGACCUUCGGGCCUCUUGCCAUCGGAUGUGCCCAGAUGGGAUUAGCUAGUAGGUGGGGUAACGGCUCACCUAGGCGACGAUCCCUAGCUGGUCUGAGAGGAUGACCAGCCACACUGGAACUGAGACACGGUCCAGACUCCUACGGGAGGCAGCAGUGGGGAAUAUUGCACAAAGGGCGCAAGCCUGAUGCGGCCAUGCCGCGUGUAUGAAGAAGGCCUUCGGGUUGUAAAGUACUUUCAGCGGGGAGGAAGGGAGUAAAGUUAAUACCUUUGCUCAUUGACGUUACCCGCAGAAGAAGCACCGGCUAACUCCGUG